Molecule: unclassified non-coding RNA, 243 nt
Filed under: plant metagenome
Description: partial contains small subunit ribosomal RNA and internal transcribed spacer 1
Rfam family: Eukaryotic small subunit ribosomal RNA (bases 1-46)
Source: RNAcentral
AAGUCGUAACAAGGUCUCCGUUGGUGAACCAGCGGAGGGAUCAUUAUAGAGUCAUAAAUACUCCAAACCCGUGUAAACAUACCACAUUGUUGCCUCGGCUGGCUGUGCCUUCCCUGUAGCGACCUACCCUGUAGGGAGUUACCCUGUAAGGACCUACCCUGUAAGCACGCCCAAGGCCGGCCGACGGCUCCCGAACUCUAGUUAUAUACGUGAUUUCUGAAAACGCAACUUAAUAAGUUAAAA